AUAAAAUAAUAAGAUAUCUUAUUAGGAUGUUUUUCAUUAAGAAGAACAUCCUUUUUAUUUUGACUAUUUAAUAAAAAACAUAUGCUAAUAACAUUUAAAUUUUAUUUUUAUAAUAUUGUAAUUUAAAAGUUUAUAUAAGGUUAUAUAUUUUAAGAUAUUAUUUAACAAUAUAAAUUCUGAAUAUACGUUAUCAAAAUUUAUAAUAUAAACUAAGUAUAAUUUAUUGUAUAGUAUUGAAUGUUAGAUAAACAUAGUGAAUUAAAUAGGGACAGAAAUAUAAUAUCAUUACAUAAUAAUAUAUUAAUACCAAUAAAUAAAGAUAUAUCAAUAUUAAAAAAAUUUAAAUGUUUGUACUAAUAUAUGGAAUAUUAUAGUGUUUUUAUAAGUAUACAUAUACAGGGUGAUGUUGUGAGAAAGUACAUAAAACAUAUAAUUUUUAGUUUUGCAAUGAUAUGUCUAGUAGUAGUAUCCAUAUUUGAAAUUAAAAAUAUUUCUGAAGAUGUUAUCAAGUAUAUGCCAGUAACAAACAAAACUAUAAUUUUAGAUGCUGGUCAUGGAGGCAUUGAUCCAGGUGCAUUAAAUAAGGAUAAGAGUACAUCUGAAAAGGAUAUUAACCUAGCAAUAACACUUAAGCUUAGAGAGCUUAUAGAAUCAAGUGGUGGCCUUGUAAUAUUAACUCGAGAAGAUGACAGUAGCCUUUAUAAAGAAGAAAAUAAUAAAACUACAAGACAAAAAUAUAAUGAGAAUUUGAAAAAUAGAAAAGAAAUAAUAUCUAAUUCUAAUGCCAAUAUGUUUGUCUCUAUACAUCUUAAUGCAUUUGAACAAUCAAAAUACUAUGGAGCUCAAACUUUUUAUCCUAAAGACAAACAAGACAGUAAAGAAUUAUCGAAGUGUAUUCAAGAAGAACUUAAAAGAGUAGUAGAUAAGACAAACAACAGAGAAGUCAAACCAAGGGAUGAUAUAUAUCUUUUGAAAGAAAAUAAUAUUCCAUCAGUACUGAUAGAAUGUGGUUUUUUAUCAAAUGAAAAAGAGUGUAAACUCUUAACUGAUGAAACAUAUCAAGAAAAAAUAGCAUGGGCAAUCUACAUAGGAAUACAAAAAUAUUUAAGUUGAAAUAACUAUAAAAAUAGGUCUAAAUAUGUAAAUAGCUUGUAUUAAAGCAGUUAAAAUGCAUUAAUAUAGGCUAUUUUUAUUUUGACAAAAAAAUAUUUAAAAUAAAAGUUAAAAAGUUGUUGACUUAGAAUAAUAUAGAUGAUAUUAUAUAUGAGUGCCCAAAAGGAGCACCAAAAUAAGACAAAAGAACUUUGAAAAUUAAACAGUAGGUUAAUUUAUAAACAAGAAACAAACCAUAAAGCCAGAUAUUUUGAUAACAAUAGUAUCUGAGCCUGAUAAACUUUUAUUUGAGAGUUUGAUCCUGGCUCAGGAUGAACGCUGGCGGCGUGCCUAACACAUGCAAGUUGAGCGAUUUACUUCGGUAAAGAGCGGCGGACGGGUGAGUAACGCGUGGGUAACCUACCCUGUACACACGGAUAACAUACCGAAAGGUAUGCUAAUACGGGAUAAUAUAUUUGAGAGGCAUCUCUUGAAUAUCAAAGGUGAGCCAGUACAGGAUGGACCCGCGUCUGAUUAGCUAGUUGGUAAGGUAACGGCUUACCAAGGCGACGAUCAGUAGCCGACCUGAGAGGGUGAUCGGCCACAUUGGAACUGAGACACGGUCCAAACUCCUACGGGAGGCAGCAGUGGGGAAUAUUGCACAAUGGGCGAAAGCCUGAUGCAGCAACGCCGCGUGAGUGAUGAAGGCCUUCGGGUCGUAAAACUCUGUCCUCAAGGAAGAUAAUGACGGUACUUGAGGAGGAAGCCCCGGCUAACUACGUGCCAGCAGCCGCGGUAAUACGUAGGGGGCUAGCGUUAUCCGGAUUUACUGGGCGUAAAGGGUGCGUAGGCGGUCUUUCAAGUCAGGAGUGAAAGGCUACGGCUCAACCGUAGUAAGCUCUUGAAACUGGGAGACUUGAGUGCAGGAGAGGAGAGUGGAAUUCCUAGUGUAGCGGUGAAAUGCGUAGAUAUUAGGAGGAACACCAGUUGCGAAGGCGGCUCUCUGGACUGUAACUGACGCUGAGGCACGAAAGCGUGGGGAGCAAACAGGAUUAGAUACCCUGGUAGUCCACGCUGUAAACGAUGAGUACUAGGUGUCGGGGGUUACCCCCUUCGGUGCCGCAGCUAACGCAUUAAGUACUCCGCCUGGGAAGUACGCUCGCAAGAGUGAAACUCAAAGGAAUUGACGGGGACCCGCACAAGUAGCGGAGCAUGUGGUUUAAUUCGAAGCAACGCGAAGAACCUUACCUAAGCUUGACAUCCCAAUGACAUCUCCUUAAUCGGAGAGUUCCCUUCGGGGACAUUGGUGACAGGUGGUGCAUGGUUGUCGUCAGCUCGUGUCGUGAGAUGUUGGGUUAAGUCCCGCAACGAGCGCAACCCUUGUCUUUAGUUGCCAUCAUUAAGUUGGGCACUCUAGAGAGACUGCCAGGGAUAACCUGGAGGAAGGUGGGGAUGACGUCAAAUCAUCAUGCCCCUUAUGCUUAGGGCUACACACGUGCUACAAUGGGUAGUACAGAGGGUUGCCAAGCCGUAAGGUGGAGCUAAUCCCUUAAAGCUACUCUCAGUUCGGAUUGUAGGCUGAAACUCGCCUACAUGAAGCUGGAGUUACUAGUAAUCGCAGAUCAGAAUGCUGCGGUGAAUGCGUUCCCGGGUCUUGUACACACCGCCCGUCACACCACGGGAGUUGGAGACGCCCGAAGCCGAUUAUCUAACCUUUUGGAAGAAGUCGUCGAAGGUGGAAUCAAUAACUGGGGUGAAGUCGUAACAAGGUAGCCGUAUCGGAAGGUGCGGCUGGAUCACCUCCUUUCUAAGGAGAAUUACCUACUGUUUA
This 2923-nucleotide ribosomal RNA is filed under the name Clostridioides difficile P49. Its description in RNAcentral is "partial 23S ribosomal RNA". The stretch from base 1397 to 2899 matches the Rfam family "Bacterial small subunit ribosomal RNA". Lineage: Bacteria; Bacillati; Bacillota; Clostridia; Peptostreptococcales; Peptostreptococcaceae. The record is from RNAcentral.